GUCUGUAUGGUAUCAGCUUGUUGGUGAGGUAAUGGCUCACCAAGGCUAUGACGCCUAACUGGUUUGAGAGGAUGAUCAGUCACACUGGAACUGAGACACGGUCCAGACUCCUACGGGAGGCAGCAGUGGGGAAUAUUGCACAAUGGACGAAAGUCUGAUGCAGCAACGCCGCGUGGAGGAUGACACAUUUCGGUGCGUAAACUCCUUUUAUAUAGGAAGAUAAUGACGGUACUAUAUGAAUAAGCACCGGCUAACUCCGUG
RNAcentral lists this ribosomal RNA (261 nucleotides) under uncultured bacterium. RNAcentral describes it as "partial 16S ribosomal RNA". It matches the Rfam family "Bacterial small subunit ribosomal RNA", at positions 229 to 507 of the family's 1533-position model. The record is from RNAcentral.